CGGACGGGUGAGUAAUGCUUGGGAAUCUGGCUUAUGGAGGGGGAUAACUACGGGAAACUGUAGCUAAUACCGCGUAAUAUCUUCGGAUUAAAGGGUGGGACUUUCGGGCCACCUGCCAUAAGAUGAGCCCAAGUGGGAUUAGGUAGUUGGUGGGGUAAAGGCCUACCAAGCCGACGAUCUCUAGCUGGUCUGAGAGGAUGACCAGCCACACUGGAACUGAGACACGGUCCAGACUCCUACGGGAGGCAGCAGUGGGGAAUAUUGCACAAUGGGGGGAACCCUGAUGCAGCCAUGCCGCGUGAAUGAAGAAGGCCUUCGGGUUGUAAAGUUCUUUCGGUGAUGAGGAAGGUGUUUGUUUUAAUAGAACAAGCAAUUGACGUUAGUCACAGAAGAAGCACCGGCUAACUCCGUGCCAGCAGCCGCGGUAAUACGGAGGGUGCGAGCGUUAAUCGGAAUGACUGGGCGUAAAGGGCACGCAGGCGGUGACUUAAGUGAGAUGUGAAAGCCCCGGGCUUAACCUGGGAAUUGCAUUUCAUACUGGGUCGCUAGAGUAUUUUAGGGAGGGGUAGAAUUCCACGUGUAGCGGUGAAAUGCGUAGAGAUGUGGAGGAAUACCGAAGGCGAAGGCAGCCCCUUGGGAAUAUACUGACGCUCAUGUGCGAAAGCGUGGGGAGCAAACAGGA
This 682-nucleotide ribosomal RNA is filed under the name uncultured Actinobacillus sp. Its description in RNAcentral is "bacterial SSU rRNA". It matches the Rfam family "Bacterial small subunit ribosomal RNA", at positions 99 to 777 of the family's 1533-position model. The record is from RNAcentral. Lineage: Bacteria; Pseudomonadati; Pseudomonadota; Gammaproteobacteria; Pasteurellales; Pasteurellaceae.